RNAcentral lists this long non-coding RNA (1122 nucleotides) under Olea europaea (common olive). RNAcentral's name for it is "long non-coding RNA (OEUR_LNC002337)". The record is from RNAcentral. Lineage: Eukaryota; Viridiplantae; Streptophyta; Magnoliopsida; Lamiales; Oleaceae.
UUCAGUUAUUCGGAGAAAUGUCUCUAUUUAUCAUUGAUUAGUACUUCUGUUUUUCCAGGAUUCAGCAUGGAGCAGCUGAUGAGCGUUCCUGCUGGUCGGAGACGGAAAUAUCAUGACGAUGUUACAGUGAUUGUGAUAGUUCUGGGCACGAACAAGCGCACCUCAAAGGCUUCAACAUGUUUAUGAAUCUCAGCUUCAAAUUCCGCCCUCUGCAACUUUCGUUUGCUGGCUGUUGUCUAGAAAAUCUACAGAUUAGGGAUCAUUACAUAAUUGGAUCACCUCACUAUAUAUUAUUUUCAUGGAACGUGUUCUCUAUGUAUCUGUAAACACUAGUGAGCCUUUAUAUGAAAUGCAAAAAUUAGUUAUAACGUUCAAGGAAUUUCAUUUGAUGCAAAUUGGUAUGAAUUAUCUUUCUUUCCUUUUUCUCCCCUUUUUUUUUUGGCCCUUAAGAAUUGAAACUUGAAAACGUCGAAGUGUAAGCUAUUAAGAGAGAAAAAUUUUAUUAAUUUAAUUUUUGUUUUCAUCGACCUAUGCAUAUGCCAUAUGUUUUUCCAAUCCAACGCCACCUAACACGUGCACAAUUUUCAUAAACUGUGAUGGUCAGAUUUGAACUCUCUGAUUCAACACAACAUGAUAAAAUUAGAUGGCAUAAACAAGAAUGCCAAGAAAAAUAUAAAAAAUGGCAUUACAGGACAAUCAUGCAAAACAUGUCAUUACCUGAAGGAAUCUAAGCUAUUACCAACUUCAUUAUUCCGAUCUCGCUAAGAAGAUACAAGUUUCAUCAUACCUUGUGCAUGGAUAGCUGGUAGAUUAGUCUUCCCCUUUUCUUCUUCAUUCUCUGUGAGUCUUCGUUUUGUAAGUGGAGAUCGUGCACAAAUUGUCAACGUGAGGUUUUGAUAAAGCUUAUUUGUAAAAUAAAGAAAGAUGGAUGAACAGAAUUGAUAGUGUUGUGGUGAUAGGAUUUAGGCCAGAAAUUGAAAGUGAAAAUUUUUUUCUAAUGGUCAGUUUUCGUUUGUCUAAAAAUUCGAAGGAAAUUUUUAAGAUCUGAUCCCAUCUUAAACAAUAAGUCUCAUCAAUAGUGAAAUUUUGAACAAAUCGCGUUUUCUAUCAUGGAGCUCUUUG